Long non-coding RNA from Coregonus clupeaformis (lake whitefish), 383 nucleotides. RefSeq lists it as uncharacterized. The record is from RefSeq and is a predicted model, not a curated record. NCBI's taxonomy places the organism in Eukaryota, Metazoa, Chordata, Actinopteri, Salmoniformes, Salmonidae. The transcript is spliced from 3 exons.
UGGAGAUUAUCGCUCUUCACAAUUCCUUCUGCUAUUGGAGGAGUGUUUCUCUGCAUUAACAUCUGCUGUAUGGUCUGGCUGUGUAGGAAACGAAAACAGGAACAGAUAAGUCUUUGUGAUAGGCAAGGAGAGGUGCAGCAGGAAUGCAAAGAGGAGGUGAUUUAUGAAAACUGUUUAGCAACGGAUGCUGCACAACACUGUUAACAUGGACCCACAACACUGAGAGAAAAGGCGGCAGAGUAAACAGGAGGAGAACAGAAAGGGCGACUGAGGGGUGGAGGUGUGGGUGAGAGAAUGUACAGCACUUCUAUUUCAGGCAUUGACCACCUGAUAACAACAGUGCUGAGUUGAUGGAAAUAUAUGGACGUCAUUUGUACCAGAGC